GUUACUGCUAUCGGAGUUCGAUUAAGCCAUGCGAGUCUAAAGGUUUCUUCGGAAGCCUUGGCGGACUGCUCAGUAACACGUGGAUAACCUGCCCUUAGGUCUGGCAUAACCCCGGGAAACUGGGGAUAAUACCGGAUAGAUCAGGGGUCGCUGGAAUGCGCCCUGAUCCAAAGCUCCGGCGCCUAAGGAUGGGUCUGCGACCUAUCAGGUUGUAGUGGGUGUAAUGUACCUACUAGCCGACGACGGGUACGGGUUGUGAGAGCAAGAGCCCGGAGAUGGAUUCUGAGACACGAAUCCAGGCCCUACGGGGUGCAGCAGGCGCGAAACCUUUACAAUGUGCGAAAGCAUGAUAAGGGAACUCCGAGUGCCAGCAUUAAAUGUUGGCUGUCCUUGUGCCUAAAACGCACAAGAUAGCAAGGGCCGGGUAAGACCGGUGCCAGCCGCCGCGGUAACACCGGCGGCCCGAGUGGUAGCCGCUAUUAUUGGGUCUAAAGGGUCCGUAGCCGGUUUGAUAAGUCCUCUGGGAAAUCUGAUUGCUCAACAAUCAGGCUGCCAAGGGAUACUGUCAAACUUGAGACCGGGAGAGGUAAGAGGUACUUCAGGGGUAGGAGUGAAAUCUUAUAAUCCUUGGGGGACCGUCUGUGGCGAAGGCGUCUUACCAGAACGGGUCUGACGGUGAGGGACGAAAGCUGGGGGCGCGAACCGGAUUAGAUACCCGGGUAGUCCCAGCCGUAAACGAUGCUCGCUAUGUGUCAGAUACGGUGCGACCGUAUCUGGUGCCGUAGGGAAGCCGUGAAGCGAGCCACCUGGGAAGUACGGCCGCAAGGCUGAAACUUAAAGGAAUUGGCGGGGGAGCACUACAACGGGUGGAGCCCGCGGUUU
Molecule: ribosomal RNA, 882 nt
Filed under: uncultured archaeon
Lineage: Archaea
Description: bacterial SSU rRNA
Rfam family: Archaeal small subunit ribosomal RNA
Source: RNAcentral